UCCUCUGACGUUAGCGGCGGACGGGUGAGUAACACGUGGAUAACCUACCUAUAAGACUGGGAUAACUUCGGGAAACCGGAGCUAAUACCGGAUAAUAUAUUGAACCGCAUGGUUCAAUAGUGAAAGACGGUUUUGCUGUCACUUAUAGAUGGAUCCGCGCCGCAUUAGCUAGUUGGUAAGGUAACGGCUUACCAAGGCAACGAUGCGUAGCCGACCUGAGAGGGUGAUCGGCCACACUGGAACUGAGACACGGUCCAGACUCCUACGGGAGGCAGCAGUAGGGAAUCUUCCGCAAUGGGCGAAAGCCUGACGGAGCAACGCCGCGUGAGUGAUGAAGGUCUUCGGAUCGUAAAACUCUGUUAUUAGGGAAGAACAAAUGUGUAAGUAACUAUGCACGUCUUGACGGUACCUAAUCAGAAAGCCACGGCUAACUACGUGCCAGCAGCCGCGGUAAUACGUAGGUGGCAAGCGUUAUCCGGAAUUAUUGGGCGUAAAGCGCGCGUAGGCGGUUUUUUAAGUCUGAUGUGAAAGCCCACGGCUCAACCGUGGAGGGUCAUUGGAAACUGGAAAACUUGAGUGCAGAAGAGGAAAGUGGAAUUCCAUGUGUAGCGGUGAAAUGCGCAGAGAUAUGGAGGAACACCAGUGGCGAAGGCGACUUUCUGGUCUGUAACUGACGCUGAUGUGCGAAAGCGUGGGGAUCAAACAGGAUUAGAUACCCUGGUAGUCCACGCCGUAAACGAUGAGUGCUAAGUGUUAGGGGGUUUCCGCCCCUUAGUGCUGCAGCUAACGCAUUAA
This 795-nucleotide ribosomal RNA is filed under the name uncultured Staphylococcus sp. RNAcentral's name for it is "SSU rRNA". It matches the Rfam family "Bacterial small subunit ribosomal RNA", at positions 82 to 863 of the family's 1533-position model. The record is from RNAcentral. Lineage: Bacteria; Bacillati; Bacillota; Bacilli; Caryophanales; Staphylococcaceae.